Molecule: transfer RNA, 83 nt
Organism: Brassica oleracea var. oleracea
Lineage: Eukaryota; Viridiplantae; Streptophyta; Magnoliopsida; Brassicales; Brassicaceae
Rfam family: tRNA
About the family: Transfer RNA (tRNA) molecules are approximately 80 nucleotides in length. Their secondary structure includes four short double-helical elements and three loops (D, anti-codon, and T loops). Further hydrogen bonds mediate the characteristic L-shaped molecular structure. tRNAs have two regions of fundamental functional importance: the anti-codon, which is responsible for specific mRNA codon recognition, and the 3' end, to which the tRNAs corresponding amino acid is attached (by aminoacyl-tRNA synthetases). tRNAs cope with the degeneracy of the genetic code in two manners: having more than one tRNA (with a specific anti-codon) for a particular amino acid; and 'wobble' base-pairing, i.e. permitting non-standard base-pairing at the 3rd anti-codon position.
Source: Rfam
GACUUUGUGGCCCAAUGGAUAAGGCACUGGUCUACGAUAUAUCACACAACCAGAGAUUAUGGGAUCGAUCCCCAGCAGAGUCU